Molecule: transfer RNA, 27 nt
Filed under: Chelonoidis niger
Lineage: Eukaryota; Metazoa; Chordata; Testudines; Testudinidae
Description: partial tRNA-Asn
Source: RNAcentral
AGAAACUUAGGAUCAAACCUACAAAAC